CGGCGCUAAUACCUCAUAUGCAGCGGACCCGCAUGGGUAUGUUGUUAAAGGUUACCGCCUUGGGAUAGGCUUGCGUCUGAUUAGCUAGUUGGUGUGGUAACGCACACCAAGGCUACGAUCAGUAACUGGCUGAGAGGAUGAUCAGUCACACUGGAACUGAGACACGGUCCAGACUCCUACGGGAGGCAGCAGUGAGGAAUAUUGGGCAAUGCACGAAAGUGUGACCCAGCAACGCCGCGUGGAGGAUGAAGGUAUUCUAUAUCGUAAACUCCUGUGAGAGCAGACGAAAGACAGAUUAUUAAUUUGGAUGACUGUAUGCUCAGAGGAAGCCCCGGCUAACUACGUG
This 346-nucleotide ribosomal RNA is filed under the name uncultured bacterium. RNAcentral's name for it is "bacterial SSU rRNA". It matches the Rfam family "Bacterial small subunit ribosomal RNA", at positions 158 to 507 of the family's 1533-position model. The record is from RNAcentral.